CGUAGGUGGUUGUGUAAGUCAGAUGUGAAAUCCCCCGGCUCAACCGGGGAACUGCAUUUGAUACUGCAUGACUCGAGUGCAGCAGAGGGAAACGGAAUUCCUGGUGUAGAGGUGAAAUUCGUAGAUAUCAGGAGGAACACCGGUGGCGAAGGCGGUUUCCUGGGCUGACACUGACACUGAGGCGCGAAAGCGUGGGUAGCAAACAGGAUUAGAUACCCUGGUAGUCCACGCUGUAAACGGUGAGUACUGGGUGUGGGAGGUGUAAUGCCUUCUGUGCCGAAGCUAACGCGUUAAGUACUCCGCCUGGGGAGUACGGCCGCAAGGUUGAA
This 329-nucleotide ribosomal RNA is filed under the name uncultured bacterium. RNAcentral describes it as "bacterial SSU rRNA". It matches the Rfam family "Bacterial small subunit ribosomal RNA", at positions 570 to 898 of the family's 1533-position model. The record is from RNAcentral.